UGUAAAAUCAGUCAAUUUGACUGGUGUGGUAGUUCUAGUGUUAACUAUUAUCCUGCUUUCACUGUAGAUGGCGAAAUGAUUGAACAGUUGUGUCCACCGAACGAUGCCAUAAUACCUGGUCGACCUUUUAAAUUAAGAGCAAGUUGUCGAUAGUUUCGUAAUGGUGGCUAAUGGUGCCGACGACAGGUGUGAUGACGAAGCAGUGACAUGUUUGAGGAGGCUAGCGUUCGAAGCAAAGUGACGAUGGAAUAAUCUUCGUCUGAUUUAUCGUGUUGGUAGGACGUGCAGCGAUAAAAACGUUGACUGGAAAUUCGAUCCUCCGGUGGUUCGCUGUUCUCAAUACGACCGCUUUCUAUAUAUCCCGCGAGGAGUCACAAUCGAAAUCGAAGAUCACGCCGUCCCGUAUAACCGAGAUUAUCUACGAGUUAGUCUAAUUUGCAUAAAACCGAAGCCCGUUUCCCAUUUCGAUUCUCUUUCGAUGAAAUCGCGCAGGCUGCAUACAGCCAGCGUACAACUUUUUCUCUGUCGCGGACGCUAACUCGAUCUAUCGCUUUGAUAUACAGGUGUUCGGGUAGAAUGGCCAAGGAAGCAAUUUAGCUGUCCUUUUGAAAGCCGGAUCGUGGAAAACGAACUUCCAACACGAUUAACGAUAAUUUGUGAUCGACAGUGGAGUUGCCGAGAUUCUGCGACGACGUAGCGGCGCAUGAUGUAGCUCAGACCACAUAAUCAUAAGAUACGUAAGUGAAGAAUUAUGCGAAGAUCUCGAUUGUUUCGUUAUCAUUUUUAGGCGCCAUCUUAUCUGCACUUUGCAUCGAAACACACGUCGCCGAUGUUCGUAAGCAGUUUGUACGCUAAAGGGUUCUUAACUCGUCGAUUUAAUUAAAUUGAGAAAGAAUUUAACCCUUUGCACUCGAGAGGCGAUUCUCAGUCGCCACGUCGUAAUCGUGUGGCAAAUCGAGAGGAGAAUGAGAGGCGACAGUCCCUGUUUAUGAGAGCGCAGUAUUGGUUCAUAAAUAGAUUCCAUAGCUCUUUAUAUUGUUUGUUAUGAAGUGUGAAGCGUUACAGUUUAAGAUGCAGGUGAAAUAUUUAUGCCCAAACUUUUUAAGUUAAUUUUUGUAUAAAAUCAUUUUACAUUACCUACAAGACACCCGUCGCAUACGCGCAAAAUCACCUCGAGUUGCUGCUAGUCGAGUGCAAAAGGUUAACAUAAAUGAAAUUAGAUGUAAAAGGAAGUAACAUAAAAUACGGUUACAGGUAGCGAAACAGAAACAGAGAAUUGACGCGAGAUGGUCGCGAGGCGAACGUUGCAGAUAGAAAUUCAGUCGAGCGAUGGAUAAAGAUUGGUGGAAGAUAGGACGCGUAUCUUUGUACACGCGAAUAUGCCAUCUAGAUAUGUAUUCGAGUCUGUUUUACAUAUGUAUACACGGCGUUGGGCCGUAGCUUUCGUCGUUUCCGAGCACGUCUCAAAUUGCAUUUCCUUACGCACAAAUUCUUGCGCCCCAAUACCCUAGGAUUCGCAAUAUUUCCACGCUCAAAGGCACGUCCUUUUAGUCCGACCUCAUCCUAAUCCCCGAUCUCACCCACCGCGUGUUCCACAUCGUGCAUAUCGAUAGACUUGCGAGAGUUGGUGCGAUGCGCACCAUCCACCACCGCCGCACCUUCCUUUCCCUCUUUCCUUCUCACCUGCCACCCAUUCCACAAUCUCUUGCUCGCUCCAUCCUCUGCCUUUCUGCCCUUUAACCGAUUCCUACCGUUUAAUCGCACGUCUGGUCGCGCGUCGCGCUGCAUCGCAAUAUGCAGUCGAUAUACUUUCCAACUUUCCUCUGCUUUUUCAAACGAAUCGAAAGAGAAGCUUUUUUCAAUAUCCUCCGACUUAACGAGAAUAAGAAGAGAAGAGAAGAAAAAAACGUUUGCGAGCAGUUUCGCGUUGAUUACUCGCGCCCGACGAAGGUAGACGUGGAACGUGAGGUCGUUCUUUUCGCGGACAAAUCAGUCGACGAUUUAGUCGCCUUAACGGAAAGAAUCGAAGCAAACUUAUCGAUGGAUGCCGAUGGAUCGAUCAAGCCGCCACGAAGCUUCGAAAAGACAAGGUGGACCGUAGGAGGAAAGGAAAGAUACUCGCAAAAGGGGACGGAGACGAGGAAAUAAGUAGAAUAUGAAAAAUGAAUGCACACAGGGAAAAAAUGAUAAAUGAGAAGCCGGGAGGCUGAGAAGGCGAUUACAAACAGCAAGGGCGUAAUCGUUUAGCGACGAGAAAAAGGGGAGAAACCAAAGGUAACCGCUCGUUAACCGCAUCUGGUUAUCGAAACUUGGAAGCUGGGGAAGCGGAAAUCAAGUAAGAAAAUAGAUAUUGCUGAUGAAGAAUAGAACGAGAAUGGAAGGAAAAUAGGACGAGAGAGCAGCUUUUUUCGAAAUGGAACGGUAGCGAAAGCUAUAAAUCGAGGACGCUGUACGCGCGGCUCUUCUUUUCUACUUUGCUACUUUUCGCAGUUGGGUUAAAGCGAUGCGCGCGGUUUCAGCGUCUCGAGGAAACCGAGUAAACCUCAAAGGAAUCUCGAUAGAAUUUUUCGCAUCCGGAAGCAGCACAGCAGACGUUCCUCCCAGCGGGUGUCGAUGUCGCGCGUCUGAUUGGUGGUCCUCUCUCACUGAUUUACUCGAUUUCCGGCUGAUUUGCACGUGUUCUCGAGGAACAAGCAAGAUAAUUUCUCGCGGCGCCUGAAGUUCUAGUGGCAGCUAAACACGCUUCUCGUCGCAGUAUUAGAUUCAAGUUCGAUCUGGUGAUUAAACUUGCAAAAGCUACGUUCGCCGUACGAAUUUUCCGAUCCAAAUUGGAGGAAUUGCAGGUGGACGCGCGUUCAUACAGCCACGGUAAUUGAUCCGUCGCGAACGCUCAUUUGCUCGACUUUCCGUAAACGUGACGCAAAUUAAUGAUCCGUUAACGUCGAAAAGCAAAGCGUAAACUUGCCUCGGUUACUCUUCUCAUACUACGUGUGUAUUCGAAGAUAUUCCGUCUCUGUACUAUGUAUUCGAAGACAUUUAGUCUCUGUACUAUGUAUUCGAAGAUAUUCCGUUCGAUCGUGUACCAAAUCGUUGGUAAUGUCGCAGCGACACAUGAGUCAACAGAAGGUUUGAAUCCGGAGAGACUGAUAUUAUUGUACCUUGGAAUAUCAACGUUGUUUUGGUUUGCUAGUUCUAAAGAUAAACGAACUGCGGACAAAAUAUUCUUUCCGUUAUUUGUAAUCGUCAACCGGAAUUGCAUUCGAAAUUUUUAUAAUAACACCUGUUGAUAUUAUUGAAGUUUUAGGUUAGCAACUAAGUGAUUGCGGAUUUUGUCAAUACCACCUAAUGACAAAAUCCCCAAUCACUUAAUUACCAACCUAAUAAUUACUUCAAGAAAAACUCUACACAUUUUAUUUUGUAUAUCCGUGACCUGGAGACCACUGUUACAAAGAGAAUAGAAUUUAGUGAAACGAAAAGUUGGAAAUAAGAAGAGGUCCAUAUUAUUGUGCCGUUGAAUAUAAAUUUUGUUUUGGAUUACAAGGUCUAGAAACAAAAGAGCUAUAAGUAGAUUACUAUCGCUGUUUCUUACAGCCUUCACCUAGAGCUUCCAGGUUAACUUUUUGUUAAUGUCCUUUGCUAUAAAUAUAUGAACGUGAUGCCAAUCAACCUUCUUCUUCUAUUGUAUUCUAACACUGUAAGAGUGAGGAUCUGGAUCAGCAUACACUAUACUUAUACUUCUUUCAAUAUAUUUUUCUAUUAUUAGGUUGUUCGAAAAGUUUCUUUCCUUUUAUAAGGAGAUAAUACACGUACAAUGUCUUUUGUUUUAUAUUACUUUAUUAAAUUAUGCACGAACAUAAUAAUAGAAAUAUGUCGAAAUGGAUCAUACCUAAUUCAAUAAAAUAAUAUAAAACAAACAAUGCUGUUCAUCUAUUAUCACCUUAUGGAACGAAAGAAACUUUUCGGACAACCUAAUACAAAUUCAUCCACUUGUUCCUCUAUCAGUUAACCUCAACAGAUAUAAAUAGACGAACGCGCUGCCUAGGACAGUGGAAUAGUCGAGUAGUUAAAGAGUAGAAGAGUUGAAUUGUUAUAGGAGUUUUAAGCGGCAUACACUGUCUCCGUACUUGUACUUAUAGUGAUUUUGAUAUAAUUGACUGUUACAAUUUUAUCACUCGUCUCUUUGUUAAAUAAACCAACGCGUUUAACACUUAACGCUCCAAGUGUGCCUCUCGAGUACCACCGAUGUGCGGCGCUCUACUUCAAAUGCAUUUUUGGGUCGUUAUCAAUAAUUGUUUACAAAUAAAAAAUAAUACUCUACAGUGAGUUACAAGCGAUCAGUAAAGACAGUCAGAUCUGAACCUGUUUGUGUCGUAAAUCCAUCUAUUUGAAUUAUGUCGAGAAGAAAAAUAAAUUAUCUUUGUGAGGAAAAUAUAGAUAGUGACGAUGACAAUUUUGAUUUUUGCAUCUAUAAUGAUGUAGCUGUUGACUUGGAUAACAGUUAUAGUGAGAGCAGUGAUAGUGAUAUUCUUGUUGCUGGAAGAAGAAGAAAAAUAAGAAAACUUUCAUCGUGUGAGGAAAGUGCAGAUGAUGGAGAACCACAGGAAGAAAAUCUAAGCAAAAGUAUUUGUAACGUAAGAUCUUCUGAUUGGCAGGAAAUUUUUAAGGAAGAUAUCAUUCCACAACGAUAUGAAUUUUCGUCUGGUGGAAAAAUUCCUGGUCCGCGGGUACGCAACUUAUGCGAACCUAUUCAGUACUUUCAAUUAUUUUUUACUAAUGUCGAAAGGGAAAAAGAAAAAGUGUCUUGUUUGUUCACCAAAAGCAAGUAACGCGGUAAAAAAACAAACAGUUUUCUACUAUGAGACCUGUGAACGCAAACCCGGUUUGCAUCCCGAUGAAUGUUUUCAAAAAUUCCACACAUUACUCAAUUAUAAUUAAUAUACAUGUUGUAAUGAAGAUUAUAUUACUUCUCAGAUAAAUAAAGAUUAUUUUCAACAA
This is a long non-coding RNA of Bombus pyrosoma, 4995 nucleotides long. RefSeq lists it as uncharacterized. The transcript is spliced from 2 exons. NCBI's taxonomy places the organism in Eukaryota, Metazoa, Arthropoda, Insecta, Hymenoptera, Apidae. The record is from RefSeq and is a predicted model, not a curated record.